This 430-nucleotide ribosomal RNA is filed under the name Antarctomyces psychrotrophicus. Its description in RNAcentral is "eukaryotic LSU rRNA". The stretch from base 100 to 253 matches the Rfam family "5.8S ribosomal RNA". The record is from RNAcentral. Lineage: Eukaryota; Fungi; Ascomycota; Leotiomycetes; Thelebolales; Thelebolaceae.
ACAGUCCCGGCUUCGGCCCACCGGCUCCGGCUGGUCAGUGACUGUCGAAGAUACCAAAACUCUGUUGUUAAUAUUGUCUGAGUACUAUAUAAUAGUUAAAACUUUCAACAACGGAUCUCUUGGUUCUGGCAUCGAUGAAGAACGCAGCGAAAUGCGAUAAGUAAUGUGACAUGCAGAAUUCAGUGAAUCAUCGAAUCUUUGAACGCACAUUGCGCCCUCUGGUAUUCCGGGGGGCAUGCCUGUUCGAGCGUCAUUACAACCCUCAAGCUCUGCUUGGUAUUGGGCACUGCAGGUUUCUGCAGGCCUUAAAAUCAGUGGCGGUGCCAUUCGGCUUCAAGCGUAGUAAUUCUUCUCGCUUUGGAGACCCGAGUGGUUACUAGCCAGUAACCCCCAAUUUUUCAGGUUGACCUCGGAUCAGGUAGGGAUANCC